Molecule: unclassified non-coding RNA, 401 nt
Filed under: fungal sp.
Lineage: Eukaryota; Fungi
Description: partial internal transcribed spacer region
Rfam family: Eukaryotic small subunit ribosomal RNA (bases 1-46)
Source: RNAcentral
AAGUCGUAACAAGGUUUCCGUAGGUGAACCUGCGGAAGGAUCAUUAACACGUAUCCAAACGUUAAACAACCCCGUGAACAUACAACCUGCUCUGGUCGCCCGCUCGCAUGGACAAGCCCAGUAAAUCAAGCCCCGGAAAGUUUUUGAUUUGGGACCUCUGUGCGCGUGAGAAAAACUGACAGCGAUUCAUAGAAGCGGUAGGUCAAGUGACACGGCGUCCCCAAGUGACCAGUGAAUGAAAGUGUCGCUGGAGCGUCAAGGACGACUCUUCAAGAUUGCUAGAGGUCGACCACCGACCGGCUUCCGUGUAUACCGAGCUAACACCGCUCCCUUGCCUGUAAGCAUCCAUACGGAUGGGCAGGCCCCCCGAACAACUGUUAACAAUGGAUAUCUUGGUUCUC